RNAcentral lists this long non-coding RNA (1203 nucleotides) under Felis catus (domestic cat). RNAcentral's name for it is "lncRNA (ENSFCAG00000046911.1)". Lineage: Eukaryota; Metazoa; Chordata; Mammalia; Carnivora; Felidae. The record is from RNAcentral.
AGUGUGGCACCGUUCGCUCUGAGAAUCAGUCUAAAGUCGGGCCGCCUGAAUCCCGAUCCCACCACACCUGCUACCGGCUGUAAGCCCUUAGGCAAGUUACCAAACUCCUCUGUACCUCAGUUGCUUUAUCUAUAAAAUGGGGACAAUACAGUUACUCACCGGGUGAGAUUGGCGUAAAGGAUUCAGGGAGCGCCUGGAGGAAAGUGAGCCCCAGGUUUGCGUUCCGGUGUCCCCACAAAGCAGAGCCAAGCCUUCGGCAGCUGGAAGCCGGGUUUUCCCCUGUCUCGGGGCCCUUCUCUGCAGUGUGGACCACAGAGUGUCUCUCUCAGCGCUCUGCCCGUCCAGGAGGACCGCCCUCCACCAUCGUCUUUUAGGGCCACCGCCGAGGGGGGUGGCACCCUCCGUGUUUGGCCAGACCAUAUAUCGCUGCAGCUCACCUGCGAACCCAGCCAAGUCCUUCCUUCAGUUGAUCGUAAAUGACGCCACCCGAGGCCACGCUGGUACGCGCAGGAAGAGGUGUCAGUUCGAGAAAGAUCUGUGAUUCAUGCCGAGUGAACACCAAGUGACCUUCACCUACACCAGCCGCCACAGGGGUAGGGGAGGUCUUGGGGUUGAGCAGACGGAUCCAAGUACAGAAGGCAGGUGGGGAGGCAGUGGACACACAGGUGGGCAGAGAGGAAGAGGGAGCCUCCUGGCGUCAUAUGCGUGACCUUCAAAAUACUUGCCAAAGCUGCCGUUUUACUCUGCUAUUUGGUUCGUGUUUGUCCCCUCCGCACGACUGUAAGUUCCAUGAGGGCAGGCGCUGUAUAAAUGAUUUGUUCACCAGGGCAUUCCCUACAUCAGUGGUGCUCAACUUUUUCAGUGUCAGGACCCUCUUCCACUCUUAAAAAUUAUUGAGGUCUCCAAAGAGCUUUCGUUGAUGCUGGUUAUACGGACAGAUCAGAGGUUCCCCAUUGAGGGCCACUUGGCUAUGUCUGGAGCCAGUUUUGACUGUCACAACUUGUGGGAUGGGGGAGGAGUGAUACUGGUAUCCCGUGGGUGAAGGCCAGAGACGCUGCUAGAAUCCCACACUGCCCAGGUCGGCCCCCGUGACGAAGAAUUUUCAGCCUAAAAUGUCAAUAGUACCAAGGUUGAGAAAUCUUGCUAUAGGUCUUAACCAUAUGAUUAGAAAAUAAAACGGAGAGAAAUUAAAAUAUUUAUUCA